This 444-nucleotide ribosomal RNA is filed under the name uncultured Pseudomonas sp. Its description in RNAcentral is "bacterial SSU rRNA". It matches the Rfam family "Bacterial small subunit ribosomal RNA", at positions 938 to 1382 of the family's 1533-position model. The record is from RNAcentral. Lineage: Bacteria; Pseudomonadati; Pseudomonadota; Gammaproteobacteria; Pseudomonadales; Pseudomonadaceae.
CAUGUGGUUUAAUUCGAAGCAACGCGAAGAACCUUACCAGGCCUUGACAUGCAGAGAACUUUCCAGAGAUGGAUUGGUGCCUUCGGGAACUCUGACACAGGUGCUGCAUGGCUGUCGUCAGCUCGCGUCGUGGGAUGUUGGGUUAAGUCCGUAACGAGCGCAACCCUUGUCCUUAGUUACCAGCACGUUAUGGUGGGCACUCUAAGGAGACUGCCGGUGACAAACCGGAGGAAGGUGGGGAUGACGUCAAGUCAUCAUGGCCCUUACGGCCUGGGCUACACACGUGCUACAAUGGUCGGUACAAAGGGUUGCCAAGCCGCGAGGUGGAGCUAAUCCCAUAAAACCGAUCGUAGUCCGGAUCGCAGUCUGCAACUCGACUGCGUGAAGUCGGAAUCGCUAGUAAUCGUGAAUCAGAAUGUCACGGUGAAUACGUUCCCGGGCCUU